This 279-nucleotide unclassified non-coding RNA is filed under the name plant metagenome. Its description in RNAcentral is "partial contains small subunit ribosomal RNA, internal transcribed spacer 1, and 5.8S ribosomal RNA". The record is from RNAcentral.
UUUCCGUAGGUGAACCUGCGGAAGGAUCAUUAAUGCAGAACCGAGGUGCGAGGAAUGUCGUAUACCCAACUGGUCGAGCACGCACGAGUGCCCCCACACCUAACUAUCAAACUCCUACGUGAACCACCGCGUGCGUCGCGCUUUGACGUGUUUGGAGGGGGGUUUCCGUAUUCACUCAAUGUUUGUAUGCAGUGUAUAACGAAGUUUUUGUGUUUGUGAUCACCCGUGCACUACAACUUUCAACAACGGAUAACUUGGCUGCCGCAGCGAUGAAGAACG